AACCGGGCUUCCUCCCAGGCAUGAGGCAGGUGCCCAGUUCAAAGCCCACUGCGAAGUCUGCACAAAACAAACGUGACCUGGUUAAGUACGAAAGGUAAUGAGUAGGAUUAUGUGUUUUCACAUGCAAAAGUAAUAUCUUUUAAUAAAAAUCGAACAUGUAUUUUGUAGAAAAGAGAUGUGCGUUUCUGGAUGAUGCAACAUGCUGCCUUGUUGACAACAUGUACAGGCCACAGACCGGUGUCCGGUCUAUAAUCGAAUUCGCCCAUUGGCAGAGAGGUUUGGAACUCUCUUUGCUUUCAGGAACCUUUUCCCCGAGGAAUCUUUUAAAAAGGUUCCUCAAAUAACCUUUUUAAUUUUAAUUUUUUAAUUUUACCUUUAUUUAACCAGGCAAGUCAGUUAAGAACACAUUCUUAUUUUCAAUGACGGCCUGGGAACAGUGGGUUAACUGCCUGUUCAGGGGCAGAACGACAGAUUUGUACCUUGUCAGCUCGGGGGUUUGAACUCGCAACCUUCCGGUUACUAGUGUUAAGGUUCCCGUAGGAAACUUUUAUGUCCCAUGUAUUCCAUUAUGAACAAUAACAAUAAUACUAUUAACAAUAGUAAUACAAAUAACAUUGAGUGGUGAACUUGUAAAGUCACAAAUUCAUUUUGUUGACUUUAAAAGUCCCAGAAAUCUCACUUGCAGACGUCACAGAAAUCUCUGGUCUCCCUUAUCCCUCUCUACAGCAAAAAGUUUCCCUCAUCAAUUCCCAGAACACAUUUCUGAAUGAACAGCGUAGUGCUUUUUAAUGAUGCUGCAUACUCAAUAUUAAAAAGGAAAUGGACCCCCCAUUGCCACUCCCAAUCCCAUGGAGAUGUCCUCCAGCUCUUCAGUGAGUAGCUCCUCCACAUCCAGGAAGAGUUGAAUGUGGCUCUCAUCCGUAAAGGAAAAUACAUACCCUGUCUGUGACGUACAGCCCACUUGGAUCUUCUUUGAAGAGGUAGGGGGGGAGCAAAAUGGCUGCAGUGACUUUCAGACCUGUGUAAUAAAAUGGCUGCAGUGACCUUCAGACCUGUGUAAUAGGGUGUGUAAUGAAAUGGCUGCAGUGACCUUCAGACCUGUGUGAUAGGGUGUGUAAUAAAAUGGCUGCAGUGACCUUCAGACCUGUGUAAUAGGGUGUGUAAUAAAAUGGCUGCAGUGACCUUCAGACCUGUGUGAUAGGGUGUGUAAUAAAAUGGCUGCAGUGACCUUCAGACCUGUGUGAUAGGGUGUGUAAUAAAAUGGCUGCAGUGACCUUCAGACCUGUGUAAUAGGGUGUGUAAUAAAAUGGCUGCAGUGACCUUCAGACCUGUGUAAUAGGGUGUGUAAUAAAAUGGCUGCCGUGACCUUCAGACCUGUGUAAUAGGGUGUGUAAUAAAAUGGCUGCAGUGACCUUCAGACCUGUGUAAUAGGGUGUGUAAUAAAAUGGCUGCAGUGACCUUCAGACCUGUGUAAUAGGGUGUGUAAUAAAAUGGCUGCAGUGACCUUCAGACCUGUGUAAUAGGGUGUGUAAUAAAAUGGCUGCUGUGACCUUCAGACCUGUGUAAUAGGGUGUGUAAUAAAAUGGCUGGAUUAGAAUCAAUAGAAUUAGAACAGCUGCAUUAUUGUAGAGAUUCAGCAACUCCACGGCACACCCCCCUCUGCAAUGAUUUUGUCGGCCAUUGGGUCGAAUCCGGACAGAAUGUUUCUGUCCACAUCCAUACCGAAUUUGCUUCUCAUCUCUGAGAAAAUCUGAAAGUCUUAUUUGUUUAUAAUGCAUUAUCAAUAUAUCUUACAUUCAGAUGACA
This is a long non-coding RNA of Oncorhynchus nerka (sockeye salmon), 1806 nucleotides long. RefSeq lists it as uncharacterized. The transcript has 2 exons. The record is from RefSeq and is a predicted model, not a curated record. NCBI's taxonomy places the organism in Eukaryota, Metazoa, Chordata, Actinopteri, Salmoniformes, Salmonidae.